This 253-nucleotide ribosomal RNA is filed under the name uncultured bacterium. RNAcentral describes it as "partial 16S ribosomal RNA". It matches the Rfam family "Bacterial small subunit ribosomal RNA", at positions 524 to 776 of the family's 1533-position model. The record is from RNAcentral.
UACGGGGGGGGCAAGCGUUGUUCGGAAUUACUGGGCGUAAAGGGCUCGUAGGCGGCCAACUAAGUCGGACGUGAAAUCCCUCGGCUCAACCGGGGAACUGCGUCCGAUACUGGAUGGCUUGAAUCCGGGAGAGGGAUGCGGAAUUCCAGGUGUAGCGGUGAAAUGCGUAGAUAUCUGGAGGAACACCGGUGGCGAAGGCGGCAUCCUGGACCGGCAUUGACGCUGAUGAGCGAAAGCUAGGGGAGCAAACGGG